AUGUCGACGCUGCUGCCCGGCGAGGGCAUGGCGAGGGUGCGCCGCAAGAAGGACUUCCGCCACAUGGAGCGCGUCGACGGCCGCAUGCUCAACGUGCUCCAGGGCCUCGAGCUCCACGCCAACGUCUUCUCCCCCGACGAGCAGGCCAAGAUCGUCACCUGCGUCCUCGACCUCCAGGACCAAGGCCGCCGCGGCCGCCUCCGAGAGCGGACCUACUCGGAGCCGCGCAAGUGGAUGCGUGGCAAGGGCCGGGCGACGAUCCAGUUCGGCUGCUGCUACAACUACGCCGCCGACCGGGACGCCAACCCGCCGGGUAUCGUGCGGGACGAGUCCGUCGACCCGCUGCCGCUCCUCCUCGCCGCCAUGGCGCGCCGCCUCGUGCUCUGGCGCGUGCUCCCGCCGACCUGCGUGCCUGACAGCUGCAUCGUCAACGUUGUUGUUGCCGCUCUCUCUCACGUCGGACUAGAGGACAUGCGGGUGGUCGCCCCCGGGGAGUUCUCCGCCGCCACCUCCAUCCCGCUGCCUGUGGGGUCCGUGCUCGUGCUCAACGGCAACGGCGCCGACGCCGCCAAGCACUGCGUCCCCGCCGUGCCGGCCAAGAGGACUCCAUCACGUUCAGGAAGAUGGACGCCUCCAAUUAAGGUCCCGUUCGGCUUCCGGCCCGACCCGCUGCUGCAGAGCCUCGCGGCUGCUGCGGUCCGGCCGGCGGCUGCUAGGAGCGCGCCCCCUAGCAGAGCAGCCUGGGAGCAGAGCAAUGGCGAGGCGGCGAAGCAUGCGACACCACUGCAGCACCAACCGGCAGCGCCUCUGUACCAGGCUGCUGCUGCCAGGGCGGGACAGACAAAGUCACGGAGCCCCGGCGGCGGCGGCCCUUUCAGCCUCUCCACCGAUGAGUUCCCGGCGCUUGGUGCCUCGCCGGCCAGCGGACGACGGCCGGGAAGGAGAUAA
Molecule: ribosomal RNA, 948 nt
Filed under: Triticum aestivum (bread wheat)
Lineage: Eukaryota; Viridiplantae; Streptophyta; Magnoliopsida; Poales; Poaceae
Description: partial small subunit ribosomal RNA
Source: RNAcentral